RNAcentral lists this ribosomal RNA (475 nucleotides) under Melanastera paucipunctata. RNAcentral's name for it is "Diclidophlebia paucipunctata partial large subunit ribosomal RNA". It matches the Rfam family "Bacterial large subunit ribosomal RNA", at positions 1928 to 2654 of the family's 2925-position model. Lineage: Eukaryota; Metazoa; Arthropoda; Insecta; Hemiptera; Liviidae. The record is from RNAcentral.
UAGCUGCAGUAUAUUAACUGUACAAAGGUAGCAUAAUCAUUAGUUUUUUAAUUGAAAGCUUGAAUGAAUGGUUUAACGAAAGUUUGACUUUUUUUUAACUAAAAGUUGAAUUUAGGUUUUAAGUUAAAAAACUUAAAUUUUAAAAAGGGACGAGAAGACCCUAGAGAAUUUAAGAAUAAUAGUGAUAAAAUUAUUUUUUAGUUGGGGUGACAUAAAAUUGACUUUUUAAUUAUAAAUUCAUUUUAAAUGGUGUUUAAGAUCCUAAAGUUUAGAUAAUUAGUUUAAAUUACCUUAGGGAUAACAGCAUAAUUUUUUUUAAAAGAUCUUAUUAAUAAAAAAGAUUAUGACCUCGAUGUUGAAUUAAGAUAAUAUUUUGGUGUAGAUUUUAAAAUAUUUAGUCUGUUCGACUUUGAAUUUUACAUGAUUUGAGUUCAGACCGGCGUGAGCCAGGUUGGUUUCUAUCUUUUUUUAUUAA